GGAGAAGCUGCAUUGUUGCUUUCCUUGUUUUUCCAGGAAGUGCGAGACACCCGCCGAAGCAUGGAUACCUUUAGAAUGUUCUCAAGAACUUGGAAAGCUCAGUGGAGGACGCUUCUCAUUGGAUUAUUCGUUCUGUGUUCUCUUGGAAGAGCAAAAACGAUCGAACAACCUAUGUCAGCAACAGCCUUGGAGAGAAACCCAUAUCACCUUCGCUGCAAUCUUUCUUCUGUUACUUCAGAAAUGAUCCAAUGGUAUCAGCAAGUUUCUGGGCAGACACCAAGGUACCUUGGUGGGGCCUACCCAAAGUAUGAAGAUGAAAUUGAAAAUCCAAAGGGAAAAUUGUAUUUUUUUGAAGACAAGACAUUCAGCACACUCGUGAUCGAUGCAGUCACCCUAGCAGAUGCUGCUGUCUACUUCUGCGCUCUGAGAGACACACAGUGUCUCACGGACGGAUCCGUUGCCUUCAUGAACCUCCUUCAGAGACUGAACAGAGGAGGAGCUGUUGCAAAGUGAGACGGAGCAGAUGAAGUGCAGAAGAAUAUCAGAAGGGGCUAAGCCAUCCCUUUGUGAUGUGAUCCGAUACAGUUGUGGCGGGCCAGAUUACAACACUAAAUUUCCCCUUGGGUUGACUGCUUCACCUGGUGUUUCCACAGACACAUUGCUGUGGUUUUCCUGCCAGUUAUGUGAAAGGGUUUUGCUGUGGUUUUCUUUCUGCAUUGUGUUGUGUUUCCCUGAAAAUAAAACAUCCCCUGAUAAUAAGCCAAAUCGGGCUUUUGAGUGCCUGUGCUAAAAUAUCCCCCCUCCGGAAAAUAAGCCCUCCUCAAAAAUAAGCCCUCUCUGAAAAUAAGCUGUCCCUGAAAAUAAGC
Molecule: non-coding RNA, 866 nt
Organism: Ahaetulla prasina
Lineage: Eukaryota; Metazoa; Chordata; Lepidosauria; Squamata; Colubridae
Source: the annotation of a RefSeq genome assembly